This 253-nucleotide long non-coding RNA is filed under the name Brassica rapa (field mustard). RNAcentral describes it as "long non-coding RNA (BRAP_LNC007862)". Lineage: Eukaryota; Viridiplantae; Streptophyta; Magnoliopsida; Brassicales; Brassicaceae. The record is from RNAcentral.
AAAAUGUCGUUUUCGAAUGAAAAAAAAAUUGAUGGCAUUUUCGUGAAUUAUAUGAACUUGGGGGGGGGGUGAAUAGGUCAAAAUCAAUUUCCAAAAAAAAAAAGGUUAGUUUUGUGUUUGACUUUAAGUUGUAGGUCAAUUCUGCAAAAAGCCCUACAUAUAUACUAUGCCAUUUGUUUGUUACUAUUUUAUUUUAAUAAUGUUAUAUAUUAUAUACUAUUUGCAUAUUUUGAUAUUUGAAUUAUGUUUUUUU